UGUCGUCAGCUCGUGUCGUGAGAUGUUGGGUUAAGUCCCGCAACGAGCGCAACCCCUGCAUUCAGUUGCCAUCGGGUAAUGCCGGGCACUCUGGAAGGACUGCCAUCGACAAGAUGGAGGAAGGUGGGGAGUGACGUCAAGUCAUCAUGGCCCUUAUGUCCAGGGCGACACACGUGCUACAAUGGCCGGCACAACGGGAAGCGAGUUCGCGAGGACGAGCGGAUCCCUCAAAGCCGGUCGCAGUUCGGAUUGAAGUCUGCAACUCGACUUCAUGAAGCUGGAAUCGCUAGUAAUCGUGGAUCAGCCAAGCCGCGGUGAAUACGUUCCCGGGCCUU
RNAcentral lists this ribosomal RNA (335 nucleotides) under uncultured Synergistaceae bacterium. RNAcentral describes it as "bacterial SSU rRNA". It matches the Rfam family "Bacterial small subunit ribosomal RNA", at positions 1050 to 1382 of the family's 1533-position model. The record is from RNAcentral. Lineage: Bacteria; Thermotogati; Synergistota; Synergistia; Synergistales; Synergistaceae.